This 301-nucleotide ribosomal RNA is filed under the name uncultured bacterium. Its description in RNAcentral is "partial 16S ribosomal RNA". It matches the Rfam family "Bacterial small subunit ribosomal RNA", at positions 509 to 809 of the family's 1533-position model. The record is from RNAcentral.
CAGUCGCCACGGGAAUACGUAGGGCGCAAGCGUUAUCCGGAAUUAUUGGGCGUAAAGAGCUCGUAGGCGGUUUGUCGCGUCUGCCGUGAAAGUCCGGGGCUCAACCCCGGAUCUGCGGUGGGUACGGGCAGACUAGAGUGAUGUAGGGGAGACUGGAAUUCCUGGUGUAGCGGUGAAAUGCGCAGAUAUCAGGAGGAACACCGAUGGCGAAGGCAGGUCUCUGGGCAUUAACUGACGCUGAGGAGCGAAAGCAUGGGGAGCGAACAGGAUUAGAUACCCCAGUAGUCCCUGUCUCUUAUAU